GGCAAAGGGAGAGGACUGCAAAUAGAAGAGAACUGUAGGAUUCUGCAAUGGAAGAAGAUACCAAAGCCCAGCUGCAGCAGAACUAACACAUCUACUCCCAACAUUGAGCCCUCCACUUGCCUGGGCGACCACCACCGAGGAUGGGAAAGGAUGACAUUGGAAGGGAAUUUGCAGCCCUCCUGAUCUCCAGAUGAAGAGCUUAUGGAUAUGAAAAGGCUUUCCCAAAGAAGCCAUGGAGUAGAAUCCAGGUCUCCCAGUUCGUGAUCAGUCUUCCAUCUCCCUGGUGGGCCAGAGAUAUUUCAAGUUGGCAGAGUCAAGCAUGAGCAAGGAGAUGGUGUGGGGCAGAGUGUGAACCAUAUAUUCCUAGACCCCAGUGAUGAAGGCUAAAUGAGACAAUAUACGUCAUGCAUCUUGCACUUCCUGCCACACAGAGCUUCCAUGGAUACUGAAAGAUCAGCUGACACGUGCCUUCAAGGCUAAAAUGAAUGUGGAUAUCAAUAGUGAUGAGAAGAAAUGGUCUAAAAUAAAGAAACAGCAUGUGCAAAAGUGAAGAUUAUGAUGCUAUGUCAGUUACCUUCAGGACCCAAUUGUAGCCACUUCAGCUGGCCCAGGCUUUCCCGAAAUGUGAAGACAGCAAACUCCCACUCUUCCUCCUGCAGACUGGUGGCAAAAACACAAAGUCCACUUGAGACCAUGAAGUCCAAGGAUCUUUUCUUAUUCCUGGAAUAUACUAGGAAAAAUACAGGCACCGUGCAGCGGGUGCUGUGUUCUAGCUGCUCUGUUAACUGCCAGUUACCUCAUUUGAUCCUGAUGACAACCCUUGGGUAGGUAUUGUGGUUACCUCCAUUCUAUCUCUGGAAGAACUAAGAAUGGAGGUUAAGUAACUUUCCUGAGGCUCCUUAGCUAAGUCUCUAGGACUGGAAUGGAGCCAGGCAGCCUGACUCAAGAGCCCCACUGAGUGCUCCUCCACAGAGGACACAGCUUCUGCACCCCUGCAGGGAGAGGCCCCAACCACAGGAUUGAUAUGGGGAAAAGUGGCCUUAUUUGGCUUUUAAUGAAUUACUCUACCUCCCUUGAUUUCAAAAUAAAGGAGAAGGCUUAGAUCUUGAGAAUCCAUUUGGAUUCAGUGUAAGAAUAACCAUAGUUUGUAUCCUGGCUGGGCUGCUUACCAGGUUCAAGAUAAAAAGAAACAACAAUGAAUCCAACAAAUCAACAAAGCACAAAGUCCAACAACAAAAAAACAAACAAAGAAAAGAAAAAGAAGGGCAAA
This 1270-nucleotide long non-coding RNA is filed under the name Homo sapiens (human). RNAcentral's name for it is "novel transcript". The record is from RNAcentral. Lineage: Eukaryota; Metazoa; Chordata; Mammalia; Primates; Hominidae.